CUCCGGGAAAGAGCACGUGUCUGGCAUGCAGAGGGUCCCUGAUUCGGUCCCUAUCUCCAGGUAGGGCUGAGAAAGACUCCCUGCCUCUGAAACCUUGGAGAGUUACUGCCAGUCAGUGUAGGGAAUACUGAGUGAGAUGGGUCGGUGGUCUGAGUUGGUAGAAAGCAGUUUGCUGUAUAUAUUGCUUAAAAUAAUAGCUUCUGUUAAUUAUUCCGUGUGUGUGUAUGUGUGCUUGUGUGUAAACUGGUUGCUUCAUGCAAUUUCAGUAUUGACCUUUUGCUCCUGGGAAGUUCAUCAGAGUUUACACUUGAUAAGACAUUCCCCGUCUUGUUUGCAGUCAUAGUGGCCCAACAACCAUGUGAUUUAUAUGGGUUUUGAGGGCCCAGCAGAAGGUAAACAAUCCUCUGUCCUGGUGAUUAACCUUUACCUUUCUCCCUGUUGCAACAUCUUUCCUUUAUCAUUUUAUUUAUUAAAUUCGUAUACCACUGCCCUUCAUCCAGAGAUCACAGAACAGUUCACAACACAAAAAUACAAAAUGAGAACACAAAAUGCACAAAACACAAAGACAAGUCAAUAACCCUGUUCCAACAAGCACAUUUCCCCCAAACCUUGAGUUUAAAACUAUCACAAUACCAGGCCUUCACACUCUAUCCGCAAGGCAAAGCAUGCCCAACAUUUUUUGCAUUCCUAAUUUGCAAAUUUAGAAAUUUCCCUGGACAGUGAGUUCUUGUUGUGUCUAGGGCAGGUAAGAGGCGGGGACCUGGUUCGUUUAGGUCAGGGCCAGGGCACCUGUGACCCUCCAGGUAUCACUUGACCACAACUGCCAUCAUCCCUGACCAUUGGGCAUGCUGGCUGGAGCUGACGGGUGUCCAACAAAAGGUUCUAUUUUCCCUGAUCUAGAAAUACCACUCACAUGCUAUGAUGUCAUUUUGCUCGCUAAGCUUUACGCACCCACGUAAGAAGCAGCCCAGUGAAAUGAAAUGGGGGAACUCAAUGACAUUACAGCCUGUAAUACCUGUUUAACUGUAUAAAUUAAAAUUGUACAGAUCAUUGUAUGAAACUGUAAUGUUCUUCAUCACAAGACAUUAUGAGUGGUGUUUUUAUGCUUAGAAUAGCAGGAUAUAAGUAAGUUAAAAAGAUCAGAUUGUGGGAUGAAUAGAGCGGGAAAUUAUCUAAUACUGAACUGAAGGCAAAACAAAAAACAAAAAACAAAAAGCACCAACAGGUCUGUGAAGUGACAGUCAACAACUCCAACUGUGGAACUUGAUUUGUACAAUCAGAUGUUAUUAUACUCCAGCAAGAAUCCUUUUGAAUUAUUGAAUUGCCACAGAUCUCUGUCCUGGAGCAAAUUAAAAAGCCCAGAAUUCCACUACCUGAGAAUCCCCAUUGAAAACAAAACUAAACAAAUUUCUAGUCUUUAUGACUGAAAAAGAUUUCUUGAACGCAGAUUGGUAGUGCCUGCUGAAAUUUCAGAAGCCAGAGAGAAUUGAUUUGGAGAGGGAGGGGGAACAAUGGCAUUAUCAAUAAACAAAAUGUUUAUAUUAAUAAUUCCGAAAACAAUUAAAAUUGACGAUAGGCUAAAAAACCAUAUUACAACACAUGCCAUGUUAAUAGUCAUGGCUUCCCACAGAGACUUCUGGGAACUGUAGUUUGUUUAAGGUGCUGAAAGUUGGGCUAUAAUUCCCAGCACCCUUGAUGAAAUAGAGUUUCCAGAAUUCCUCGGGGGUAGAGUGGUACAAAGUGGUUCAAGAGUGCUUUCUGUGUCUCCGUCCUUUCACCUACAGGCCUCCCACAUCAGCUCAGGGGACGGGGACGUCCUAUCAGGAGCAAAUGCUAAGCCUUAAGCAACUGGCACGUCACAUUGCCAAAGGAUUAUUUAUAGCCGACAUGCAGCUCUGGGGACAGAACUGGUUUGCUCAGCCCGCAGGCCUGCCAAAUAACCUUUUAACAAGUUGGAAAAGGGAAAUUGGAUCUGCUGCAGCUCAGUCUGAGAAGGUGACUUGGUGGAGGAGGCCAAGUGGGGGGCCUGUAAGAUGCCGCAGGGAACAUCAUAUCGAUGGGCGGUCUUAGAAUUCACAAAAGGCAUGUAAUGGAGAAAAGGGGAUGUGGGCGUGGGGGGGGGGGGAGAGGGGAAGAACCCCAGGAGGAUAAUUCUGCAUGUUUGCGCAUUGUCAGGAAUUGAUUAGGAACGCAGGAAGUGCGAGUCAAAUAAUUGAUCCUCCUAGCUCAGCAUUGUCAAUACGGACUGGCAGCAGCUGUCCAGGAUCUCAGACAGGAAGCCUUUUCCCUGUCCCUUCCGGGAGAUGUUUAGGAUUGAACCUGGGAACUCCUGCAUAUUCUCUUAAAGCACAGGAAUAUAGGAGGGUACUGCAUAUUGAGUUAGACCAUUGAUGCAUCUAGCACAUGACAGGGGUGGACUUUUGUAAUCUUUCGUAAUAUGACACCCUGUGCGAGGCCAAUUAUUUGGAACCCCCAAAUGGAUCUCCUUGACCCACUUUAAAGCCUGCUUCUGAUUUGGUAUUGCAGUCACGAUGGUCUGAAUGUGAGAAUCUUCUUGACAUGGUCUGGCGCACAGUAACCAGGCAACACUCAUCCUACCGUGCAGGCAAGCAGCCAGCGGACCAAAGAAGAAUGAGGACAAAUGGAUGAUGACCCAUCUCAGGCUGCUGGAGGGGAGGGGGAAACGGGAGCCAGGGCAGGCAGCAAGUGGCUCCAAGUGACCAAGAAACCAGAUCGCCUCCAGCUGCAUCUGCAGCCAAUGCACCCUGUUCAAUACAUUAUAUAUAAC
Molecule: non-coding RNA, 2788 nt
Organism: Podarcis lilfordi (Lilford's wall lizard)
Lineage: Eukaryota; Metazoa; Chordata; Lepidosauria; Squamata; Lacertidae
Source: the annotation of a GenBank genome assembly